UGCAAGUCGAGCGGUAACAGAUCUAGCUUGCUAGAUGCUGACGAGCGGCGGACGGGUGAGUAACGCGUAGGAAACUGCCGAGUAGUGGGGGAUAGCCCAGAGAAAUUUGGAUUAAUACCGCAUACGCCCUACGGGGGAAAGGAGGGGAUCUUCGGACCUUUCGCUAUUCGAUGUGCCUGCGUGAGAUUAGCUUGUUGGUGAGGUAAAGGCUCACCAAGGCGACGAUCUCUAGCUGGUUUGAGAGGAUGAUCAGCCACACUGGGACUGAGACACGGCCCAGACUCCUACGGGAGGCAGCAGUGGGGAAUAUUGCACAAUGGGGGAAACCCUGAUGCAGCCAUGCCGCGUGUGUGAAGAAGGCCUUCGGGUUGUAAAGCACUUUCAGCAGUGAGGAAAGGUUGUAAGUUAAUACCUUGCAGCUAUGACGUUAACUGCAGAAGAAGGACCGGCUAACUCCGUGCCAGCAGCCGCGGUAAUACGGAGGGUCCGAGCGUUAAUCGGAAUUACUGGGCGUAAAGCGCGCGUAGGCGGCUAGGUCAGUCAGAUGUGAAAGCCCCGGGCUUAACCUGGGAAUUGCAUCUGAUACUGCUUGGCUAGAGUACAGAAGAGGGUGGUGGAAUUUCCUGUG
Molecule: ribosomal RNA, 628 nt
Filed under: uncultured bacterium
Lineage: Bacteria
Description: bacterial SSU rRNA
Rfam family: Bacterial small subunit ribosomal RNA
Source: RNAcentral